This 253-nucleotide ribosomal RNA is filed under the name uncultured bacterium. Its description in RNAcentral is "partial 16S ribosomal RNA". It matches the Rfam family "Bacterial small subunit ribosomal RNA", at positions 524 to 776 of the family's 1533-position model. The record is from RNAcentral.
UACAGAGGUCUCAAGCGUUGUUCGGAAUCACUGGGCGUAAAGGGUGCGUAGGCGGCGGAGUAAGUCGGGUGUGAAAUUUGAAGGCUCAACCUUCAACUAGCACCUGAUACUGCUUUGCUUGAGGUCUGAAGAGGAGCUUGGAAUUCUCGGUGUAGCAGUGAAAUGCGUAGAUUUCGAGAAGAACGCGCGCAGCGAAAGCGAAGCUCUGGUCAGAUUCUGACGCUGAGGCACGAAGGCUAGGGGAGCAAACGGG